ACCAACAAUGUCUGUUGGAAUUAGUUAAGCAUUUGAAAUAUGCUUAACAAACGUGCGACAGCCAACCCGAUUUCCAUUCCUGCAGGGUCAGUGCGAGCCAAUUUCCAGUUGCCAUUUUAAACAGGAACGUGUCCUGCACACUCACCUUGGCACAUUUGUGAUCUCCAGAAUAAAUAGGCCACCAAAUACAGGCGAUUCAUCUUCAUCAUCAUUUGCCCCAAAUUUCUUGGACAUCCCCGAACAUGUUUCUGGCAUUUUUCAACAAUUGGCAAGUGCACCCCCUCCCUCAAUCUUGACCAGAACUGUGUGCGCUAACCCAUGUGCCGAGUGGAAAGUUCAUUGCAUACAUACGUACACAGACACGUGGGUUUCUUGUGCGACCCGAAGGAGUAUAGUUGCAGUAGUUUGCCUAAUAUAUUGUUGCAAGGCAAAUCAACACAAAUUUUCGAAGGAUACGUGUACCGACUUUGUUGCUGGCUGAUGUCUGCCCCGUGUCAGUGGAGCAUGCAACUUGCCAGGCCACACCCACUGCCCACCGCCUACCGCCUACCGCCCACUUCCACCCACCGAGGACUAUAAGCCAGCACGACCACCACCACCGCCACCACCCACUGAAGAACGCCCACAAAGACGAGCUGACAUGCAAACACAUAAACGCCAUUUCGCCUCCAGUUGCCACCUAAAUGGCAAUGACAUCGCCCCAGAAGACGAGCAAGAUGGCAAAAUGUUUCACUUUUGAGUCGACUUUUUCAUUCGUGUGCGGAGCGCUUUAACAUGUUACCUUCCAAUUUGCCGUCCUCCGCUGUCGAUGGCCAGUCAAACGGAUCCGGGCCAGAUGCGUCAAAUUAAUUUCAUACCAAGCCAACCGAACCGGACCGAACCCUCUUUUGAGCGCAGAAUUGGCCAGUUUUUUAGACGUGCCACAAAAGGGAAUGACGGACAAAUUUCAACAUUUUAGGUAACUUCAGAUGGGUUUUAAAAAAUAAAUAUCUUAGUCUGCGACCCCUCAAAACAUAUAGGAACUCUAAUCUAACUUGACACAAUAAUAAAGUUAUUUUGACGUUGAAAAAA
Molecule: long non-coding RNA, 1071 nt
Organism: Drosophila biarmipes
Lineage: Eukaryota; Metazoa; Arthropoda; Insecta; Diptera; Drosophilidae
Exons: 2
Source: RefSeq, a predicted model, not a curated record